This 493-nucleotide ribosomal RNA is filed under the name uncultured Bacillota bacterium. Its description in RNAcentral is "bacterial SSU rRNA". It matches the Rfam family "Bacterial small subunit ribosomal RNA", at positions 28 to 504 of the family's 1533-position model. Lineage: Bacteria; Bacillati; Bacillota. The record is from RNAcentral.
GACGAACGCUGGCGGCGUGCCUAAUACAUGCAAGUCGAGCGAACGAAGGGGAGCUUGCUCCCUAUUCGUUAGCGGCGGACGGGUGAGUAACACGUGGGUAACCUACCUGUAAGACUGGGAUAACUCGCGGAAACGUGAGCUAAUACCGGAUAACAUCUUCCUCCGCAUGGAGGAAGAUUGAAAGACGGCUCUGCUGUCACUUACAGAUGGGCCCGCGGCGCAUUAGCUAGUUGGUGAGGUAACGGCUCACCAAGGCGACGAUGCGUAGCCGACCUGAGAGGGUGAUCGGCCACACUGGGACUGAGACACGGCCCAGACUCCUACGGGAGGCAGCAGUAGGGAAUCUUCCGCAAUGGACGAAAGUCUGACGGAGCAACGCCGCGUGAGCGAAGAAGGUCUUCGGAUCGUAAAGCUCUGUUGUUAGGGAAGAAUAAGUACGAGAGUAACUGCUCGUACCUUGACGGUACCUAACCAGAAAGCCACGGCUAACUAC